CAGCAGCCACGGUAAUACGUAGGGUGCAAGCGUUAAUCGGAAUUACUGGGCGUAAAGCGUGCGCAGGCGGUUUUGUAAGACAGAGGUGAAAUCCCCGGGCUCAACCUGGGAACUGCCUUUGUGACUGCAAGGCUAGAGUACGGCAGAGGGGGAUGGAAUUCCGCGUGUAGCAGUGAAAUGCGUAGAUAUGCGGAGGAACACCGAUGGCGAAGGCAAUCCCCUGGGCCUGUACUGACGCUCAUGCACGAAAGCGUGGGGAGCAAACAGGAUUAGAUACCCCCGGUAGUCCCUGUCUCUUAUA
RNAcentral lists this ribosomal RNA (301 nucleotides) under uncultured bacterium. RNAcentral's name for it is "partial 16S ribosomal RNA". It matches the Rfam family "Bacterial small subunit ribosomal RNA", at positions 509 to 808 of the family's 1533-position model. The record is from RNAcentral.